AUUGAACGCUGGCGGCAUGCCUUACACAUGCAAGUCGAACGGCAGCACGGGUGCUUGCACCUGGUGGCGAGUGGCGAACGGGUGAGUAAUACAUCGGAACGUACCUUAUCGUGGGGGAUAACGCAGCGAAAGCUGUGCUAAUACCGCAUACGCCCUGAGGGGGAAAGCGGGGGAUCGCAAGACCCCGCGCGAUUAGAGCGGCCGAUGCCUGAUUAGCGUGUUGGUGGGGUAAAAGCCCACCAAGGCGACGAUCAGUAGCUGGUCUGAGAGGACGAUCAGCCACACUGGGACUGAGACACGGCCCAGACUCCUACGGGAGGCAGCAGUGGGGAAUUUUGGACAAUGGGGGCAACCCUGAUCCAGCAAUGCCGCGUGAGUGAAGAAGGCCUUCGGGUUGUAAAGCUCUUUUGUCAGAGAAGAAACACCGGCUCUAACACAGUCCGGGAAUGACGGUACCUGAAGAAUAAGCACCGGCUAACUACGUGCCAGCCGCCGCGGUAA
Molecule: ribosomal RNA, 501 nt
Filed under: uncultured bacterium
Lineage: Bacteria
Description: partial 16S ribosomal RNA
Rfam family: Bacterial small subunit ribosomal RNA
Source: RNAcentral